UGGGGAAUAUUGCACAAUGGGCGAAAGCCUGAUGCAGCGACGCCGCGUGAGGGAUGACGGCCUUCGGGUUGUAAACCUCUUCAGCAGGGAAGAAGCGAAAGUGACGGUACCUGCAGAAGAAGCGCCGGCUAACUACGUGCCAGCAGCCGCGGUAAUACGUAGGGCGCAAGCGUUGUCCGGAAUUAUUGGGCGUAAAGAGCUCGUAGGCGGCUUGUCACGUCGGUUGUGAAAGCCCGGGGCUUAACCCCGGGUCUGCAGUCGAUACGGGCAGGCUAGAGUGUGGUAGGGGAGAUCGGAAUUCCUGGUGUAGCGGUGAAAUGCGCAGAUAUCAGGAGGAACACCGGUGGCGAAGGCGGAUCUCUGGGCCAUUACUGACGCUGAGGAGCGAAAGCGUGGGGAGCGAACAGGAUUAGAUACCC
This 419-nucleotide ribosomal RNA is filed under the name uncultured bacterium. Its description in RNAcentral is "bacterial SSU rRNA". It matches the Rfam family "Bacterial small subunit ribosomal RNA", at positions 355 to 787 of the family's 1533-position model. The record is from RNAcentral.